GGAUAUAAAAUAUCUAAAAUCUUAAUUAAUGAGUAUAAAAUUAAAAGGGCAUACAAAAUAAUAAAACCUAAUUAAACUAAAAAGAAAGAAAUAAAAUAAAAAAUAAAUAAAUAUAAUUAGAUUUUUAUUAUUCAAAAAAUAAAUAAAAAAAAGAAAUAACUAAUAUAAUAUAUUAAUUAGAAAAUUAAUUAAUGGGUUUUAUUUUAAUAAUAGAAAAAUA
This 220-nucleotide long non-coding RNA is filed under the name Lathyrus oleraceus (garden pea). Its description in RNAcentral is "Pisum sativum (pea) long non-coding RNA (PSAT_LNC037662)". Lineage: Eukaryota; Viridiplantae; Streptophyta; Magnoliopsida; Fabales; Fabaceae. The record is from RNAcentral.